GAAUUUUGAGAAUAAGAUGGAUCAUAUAGAAUAUAACUUAUUUUAUAUAUUGGAACUAUGUAUAAAAUCAUCACAUUGAAUUUUAUAAUAAAGUUUAAUUUAUUUUAUAUUGAUCAUCUAUAUUUCAUAUGAUAUAAGGAUGACAAAAAAAUAGGCAAAAUAUUUCUUCUAUUCAUAAAGUAAAAUUUCAUAUAAAAAAUUUGGUUAUGAGGUGUCAUUAGUGUUAUAAUACAUGGA
This 237-nucleotide long non-coding RNA is filed under the name Elaeis guineensis (African oil palm). RNAcentral describes it as "long non-coding RNA (EGUI_LNC072734)". Lineage: Eukaryota; Viridiplantae; Streptophyta; Magnoliopsida; Arecales; Arecaceae. The record is from RNAcentral.